RNAcentral lists this long non-coding RNA (362 nucleotides) under Phaseolus vulgaris (common bean). RNAcentral's name for it is "long non-coding RNA (PVUL_LNC000135)". The record is from RNAcentral. Lineage: Eukaryota; Viridiplantae; Streptophyta; Magnoliopsida; Fabales; Fabaceae.
GAGACCACACUUCAUGAUGUCAACAUGGAGGAUGAGACUAGGAGGAGGCAGCAACAAGCUGCUCAGGAGGCAUAUGAGGAGGAUGAUGAUAUGCCUGGUGGUGCACAGAGGGUACAGUGCGCCCAGCAGUGAUGACUUGUGUGGAAGGAAUGUAGAAUCAGAAUUAUAUAAAAUGAAUGAUGAUGAUGAUACUGUUGAUGAUCCGUAACUGUAGCGUGGACUAUGGACUAAAGACGAGUAGCGUUGUAGUAGUGUUUGAUUGUGAGAAAGUGAAGAACAUUAAUACUGUGGAAAGGAUAAUUUCUGUUCUGGCAUCCUAAAUACUUCUGUUUAUUGGUUUAUUUUAAGCAUAUUUGUUUCGG